This 195-nucleotide ribosomal RNA is filed under the name Triticum aestivum (bread wheat). RNAcentral describes it as "partial small subunit ribosomal RNA". The record is from RNAcentral. Lineage: Eukaryota; Viridiplantae; Streptophyta; Magnoliopsida; Poales; Poaceae.
AUGAUUAAAGGAGAAGAUUGUUCUUUUACCAAACAUAUGCAGAUCAGAUCACGUCCCAUAACAACAAGAAAUAUUUCUUGGUAUCAAUCCUCUUGCCCAUCAUCCUUUGAGAGUCAGAAGGAUCUUUUUCGAGUUUCCAUUUCUUCAUUUGAAAUUUGGGAUCUUCUAUCUUUGACUUAUUUCUUUUGGCUUUAA